AUCUGUGAAAUGCAAACCCGGCGAAAGCCGGCGACGCAAAGCCAAGGGCCUAAAGCAUACGCUAUGGCAGCCAGUUGCCGCA
Molecule: non-coding RNA, 82 nt
Filed under: Anoxynatronum buryatiense
Lineage: Bacteria; Bacillati; Bacillota; Clostridia; Eubacteriales; Clostridiaceae
Description: alkaliphilic bacterium Su22 c-di-GMP-I riboswitch aptamer
Rfam family: c-di-GMP-I riboswitch aptamer
About the family: GEMM was predicted in a large-scale screen for bacterial structured RNA regulatory elements. Genes associated with GEMM are involved in a diverse array of functions, including chemotaxis regulation, signal transduction, secretion and chitin.
Source: Rfam by way of RNAcentral